This 402-nucleotide ribosomal RNA is filed under the name uncultured bacterium. RNAcentral's name for it is "bacterial SSU rRNA". It matches the Rfam family "Bacterial small subunit ribosomal RNA", at positions 917 to 1322 of the family's 1533-position model. The record is from RNAcentral.
GGGCCCGCACAAGCGGUGGAGCAUGUGGUUUAAUUCGAUGAUACGCGAGGAACCUUACCAGGGCUUAAAUGUAAGUUGCAUAGACCAGAGAUGGUCUUUUCUUCGGACUACUUACAAGGUGCUGCAUGGUUGUCGUCAGCUCGUGCCGUGAGGUGUCAGGUUAAGUCCUAUAACGAGCGCAACCCCUGUCGUUAGUUGCCAGCAAGUUAAGUUGGGCACUCUAGCGAGACUGCCGGUGCAAACCGCGAGGAAGGUGGGGAUGACGUCAAAUCAUCACGGCCCUUACGUCCUGGGCUACACACGUGCUACAAUGGCCGGUACAGAGAGCAGCCACUCCGCGAGGAGGAGCGAAUCCGACAAACUUGUCGUAGUCCGGAUCGAAGUCUGCAACUCGACUUCGUG